Molecule: transfer RNA, 74 nt
Filed under: Candidatus Nomurabacteria bacterium CG1_02_43_90
Lineage: Bacteria; Candidatus Nomuraibacteriota
Description: tRNA-Gln
Rfam family: tRNA
About the family: Transfer RNA (tRNA) molecules are approximately 80 nucleotides in length. Their secondary structure includes four short double-helical elements and three loops (D, anti-codon, and T loops).
Source: RNAcentral
UGGGAGAUCGUCUAAUGGUAGGACAGCGGCCUUUGAAGCCGUUAAUCUUGGUUCGAUUCCAAGCCUCCCAGCCA